GAGUGUAAGAGUGAUCUGGCCACGGCAUUUGUCACCCCGUUGAUUGCCAGAGUUGAUUCAGCUGAUCUGGCUGUCUGGUCAGGUGACCCUCUCCGCUCUCAUUGCUCCAUUUCCAUCCUUCCUGAAGCUGUGUGCUUGGUUGAAGAGGAUGACGUUCCCCAACAGAGGAGGACCGUUCUUUGGUCAAGGGUAUACAAAUAGCUGUAUCCCCUGCUAGAACCUCCAAACAAGUUCUCAAAAAGAGUGACUGAAGCUAAACUCUGGUGGCUCAUGCCUAUAAUCUUAGCUACUUAGCAAACCGAGAUUGG
This 308-nucleotide small nuclear RNA is filed under the name Castor canadensis (American beaver). RNAcentral describes it as "7SK RNA (ENSCCNG00000003704.1)". It matches the Rfam family "7SK RNA". From Rfam's summary of the family: 7SK was discovered as an abundant small nuclear RNA in the mid-70s but a possible function has only recently been suggested. The record is from Rfam by way of RNAcentral. Lineage: Eukaryota; Metazoa; Chordata; Mammalia; Rodentia; Castoridae.